This 478-nucleotide ribosomal RNA is filed under the name uncultured bacterium. RNAcentral describes it as "partial 16S ribosomal RNA". It matches the Rfam family "Bacterial small subunit ribosomal RNA", at positions 28 to 507 of the family's 1533-position model. The record is from RNAcentral.
GAUGAACGCUAGCGGCAGGCCUAACACAUGCCAGUCGAGGGAGAAGCCCUUUCGGGGGCCGAAACCGGCGCACGGGUGCGUAACGCGUAUGCAACCUACCUUUCACAGGGGGAUAGCCCGAAGAAAUUUGGAUUAAUACCCCAUAAUAUUAUUGGAUGGCAUCAUUUGAUAAUUAAAACUGCGGUGGUGAAAGAUGGGCAUGCGUCCUAUUAGCUAGUUGGAGUGGUAACGGCACCCCAAGGCUACGAUAGGUAGGGGUCCUGAGAGGGAGAUCCCCCACACUGGUACUGAGACAGGGACCAGACUCCUACGGGAGGCAGCAGUGAGGAAUAUUGGUCAAUGGUCGGAAGACUGAACCAGCCAUGCCGCGUGCAGGAAGAAUGCCUUAUGGGUUGUAAACUGCUUUUAGAUGGGAAGAAUAAGGCGUACGUGUACGUUGAUGACGGUACCAUAUGAAUAAGCAUCGGCUAACUCCGUG